Small nuclear RNA from Callithrix jacchus (white-tufted-ear marmoset), 107 nucleotides. NCBI's taxonomy places the organism in Eukaryota, Metazoa, Chordata, Mammalia, Primates, Cebidae. The record is from Ensembl.
GUGCUCACUUUAGCAGCAAAUAUACUAAAAUUGAAGCAAUAGAGAGAAGAUUAGCAUGGCUCCUGUGUAUGGGUGACAUGCAAAUUCGUGAAGCAUUCCAUAUUAAA